UGUAUGGUUAAGUGACUAAGCGUACACGGUGGAUGCCUGGGCAGUCAGAGGCGAUGAAGGACGUACUAACUUGCGAUAAGCGCAGAUAAGGCAGUAAGAGCCGUUUGAGUCUGCGAUUUCCGAAUGGGGAAACCCAACUGCAUAAGCAGUUACUGUUAACUGAAUACAUAGGUUAACAGAGCAAACCGGGGGAACUGAAACAUCUAAGUACCCCGAGGAGAAGAAAUCAACCGAGAUUCCGGUAGUAGCGGCGAGCGAACCUGGAUUAGCCCUUAAGCACUCGGUGAAGUAGGUGAACAAGCUGGAAAGCUUGGCGAUACAGGGUGAUAGCCCCGUAACCGACGCUUCAUCGAGCGUGAAAUCGAGUAGGGCGGGACACGUGAUAUCCUGUCUGAAUAUGGGGGGACCAUCCUCCAAGGCUAAAUACUCCUGACUGACCGAUAGUGAACCAGUACCGUGAGGGAAAGGCGAAAAGAACCCCUGUGAGGGGAGUGAAAUAGAACCUGAAACCGUGUACGUACAAGCAGUAGGAGCACCUUCGUGGUGUGACUGCGUACCUUUUGUAUAAUGGGUCAGCGACUUAUAUUCAGUGGCAAGGUUAACCGUAUAGGGGAGCCGUAGCGAAAGCGAGUCUUAACUGGGCGCUCAGUCUCUGGAUAUAGACCCGAAACCGGGUGAUCUAGCCAUGGGCAGGUUGAAGGUUGAGUAACAUCAACUGGAGGACCGAACCGACUAAUGUUGAAAAAUUAGCGGAUGACUUGUGGCUAGGGGUGAAAGGCCAAUCAAACUCGGAGAUAGCUGGUUCUCCCCGAAAGCUAUUUAGGUAGCGCCUCGGACGAAUACUACUGGGGGUAGAGCACUGUUAAGGCUAGGGGGUCAUCCCGACUUACCAACCCUUUGCAAACUCCGAAUACCAGUAAGUACUAUCCGGGAGACACACGGCGGGUGCUAACGUCCGUCGUGGAGAGGGAAACAACCCAGACCGCCAGCUAAGGUCCCAAAGUAUUGCUAAGUGGGAAACGAUGUGGGAAGGCUCAGACAGCUAGGAUGUUGGCUUAGAAGCAGCCAUCAUUUAAAGAAAGCGUAAUAGCUCACUAGUCGAGUCGGCCUGCGCGGAAGAUGUAACGGGGCUAAGCAAUACACCGAAGCUGCGGCAAUGUCUUUUAGACAUUGGGUAGGG
Molecule: ribosomal RNA, 1180 nt
Filed under: Vibrio cholerae
Lineage: Bacteria; Pseudomonadati; Pseudomonadota; Gammaproteobacteria; Vibrionales; Vibrionaceae
Description: partial 23S ribosomal RNA
Rfam family: Bacterial large subunit ribosomal RNA
Source: RNAcentral